RNAcentral lists this long non-coding RNA (18208 nucleotides) under Mytilus galloprovincialis (Mediterranean mussel). The record is from RNAcentral. Lineage: Eukaryota; Metazoa; Mollusca; Bivalvia; Mytilida; Mytilidae.
UUUUAUUUUGGCUUAGAAAUAAACAUAAUUGACAAGUUUCCUUCCCCUGCAUUCUCGAUCCCACAUGUAAAUAGCACGGUGAUUUUCAAAAAGACAUUGAUACAUCAUUACAACACACACUUGCCGUCAGUAUUUGAAUAUAUUGAUUAAGAAGGUAUAGAAGAUUAAUGCACGCACACUAUUAUCCACCACUGGCCUAAAUAGUUAGUCCGCAAACAACGAGGGUCAUAAAAACCCAGCACUUUGAACACAGCCACCGGCAUGGUGUGAAUCUGAAAGCUUCCCACUAUCCAUUUCUACCCAUAGAAAACUUUUGCCUUUCAUUUAUCAAAAAUGAAAUAUGUUGAUAUUAAUGGUAUAUAAGAAUUAUUGGGGAAUUCAAACCAUUCCUAUUGUAAGUGAUAAAACUAAAUUUAUAUCAGGGUGAUUGAAAUGAGGAAAAAAAAGGGGGGAUCAGGAGUUCAGGGCCCCCUGUUUGGGAAAAGAAUUGGUUGAUUAUAUAUGGAAUCACUGAGUCAUGGCAGGAGCAGGCCCCUCUUAGGCAGUCGGUGGGCCCCACUUAUGAAAAAUUCUGGAUCCACCACUGUGGUCAGGUGGUGGUCUUCAGUUGUAUUAUCUUUUAAAAAAAAAAUUACACCUGUAUAGUGUAUAUUCUUUAGUGUAAAUCAAGGGAAAAUACUGUGAACUAUCUGUGCAUUGGGCUUAUUAAAAGGUAUUUCGGGGGGAAGAAAGAAGGGAGGGUGAGUCCAUGGGAGGUAAUCCCCACCCCUUUCAAUUUGAGAAUAUGCUAUUAUCUUGUAAACGGUCCAGAUCCCCAUCCCUAAACCAUAUAUAUUCUUGAAUGGGACGAUAAAACAAAUCAAAUGAAAUUAAAAGGAGGUCUUUGGGGGUUUCACCACUCUGUUCAAUUUGAGAAUGUGCUAUUAUCUUGUGAACGAUCCAGAUCCCCACCCCUAAACCAUAUAUAUUCUUGUCGGGGACAAUAAAAUUAAUAAUGAAAUAAAAUAAAAGUGAAGUCCCACCCCCUCUAGUUUGAAAACUUGUAAACGGUCAAGAUCCCCACCCCUAAACCAUAUUUAUAUAUUCUUGUAUAGAACAAUAAAACAAAUAAAAGGAAAUAUAGGGAGAGUCCAUGGGGUUCACCCCCACCCCCACAUGUUUGAGAAACUUUUAAAUGGUUGAGAUCCCCUGUCAUCCAGUGGUUAGGUGAAAAAAUUUCAGGAUCCCUGAUCCCCACCGUCAAACCAUAUAUAUUCUUGUAUGAGACAAUAAAACAAAUCAAAUGAAUAUAGGAUCAUCCCCUUUGUCUUGGGUUGGGAACCCCCCUUUUUAAAAUGGCUGGAUCCGCCCCGGCAUACCAUCUAGCUAGCUAUAAAGGCUUUAAAAAUAUGAAAUCAAACAAGGAAAUUAACAGUGUAGGCAACUGUUUUGAAUUUAAAAAAAAGUCUUUUACAUAUAUAACAAUGUUAAAUUUUUUGUGCAUUUAUUUUUGCUUAUCGUAUUUUCAAUAAUGGACAAAAUUGCAUGAUUGAAUAUUGUAAUUUAAGAAAAAUCAGCAUACAUGAUAUAAAAUGGGAAGUGGAAACUGGGAAUUUGACAAAGAGACAACAACCCAAUCAAAGAGCAGACAACGGCCGAAGGUCACCUAUGGGUCUUCAAUGCAGUGAGAAAAAUUCGGCACUGGUCUUCAGCUCAUAAAUAUGUAUCAGAAAUGAAAACGAGAUACAGCUUUCAGUUGUAUUAAUAAAAACCUCACAAUAAGUUCUGAAUAUCAGAAUAUACAGUAUUGCAAGAUUCUCUCAAAAUGUACACAUAGAGCUGAAAAACUGUCAGUGACUGUAAAAUUAAUCAUGCUUACAUUAAAGUCCAUGGAGUCCAUCUUAAUAUGCAUACUCUCGUACAAAGGAAUAUAAGUAUGCAAUAGACAUCAAGUUUUCAAAAAUAAGAGUAUCUAUGCCAUUAAUUUACGACAAGAUCUUAAUCAAGUAAUAAUUUCGGUUUGUUUAAAUAUUUCGGAGGUUAGUAUGACCUCCUCUUUGGUGAUGAUGUUUUCGUUUUAAAGUUGGGAAAAUUGUUUGUACAUGUACCAACAAAAAUAAAAACACAAAGUCAAUCUAGAAUUAUGUUUUUAUCAUUUUUUUAUGUUUAGGUUGUCAGCAAGAUGAAAAGGACAAGUAUGCAGUUCAAAAUUCAAAAUGUGGAUAAGUUGAGGUUCUAGGUCUUACCUUUGCAGAUUUUCAUAUUUUGCAUGAAUGAAAUCAAAGGUUAUAUGAUGGACAGCAGAGAAAGAAAAAAACAACUUUUCAAUUAUCCUGCUCCUGGAUAAAUGUAAAACAUCUUGUUUUUCGGUAAGUUUUAUGCUCUGUUUUGAUAGUGUUAGUGCAUUCAUCUUUCCAGUCUUUCCUCUAAAUUGUAAGUUUUUGGUGAGUGUUCACCAUGAAUUUCAGUAAGUAACUUGUGGAUUUACAUGUAUAUACUCAAAAUUUAGUACUAAUAUUAAUGGGAUUUUAGCAUGACAUCCUGCCAAAUGCUUGUUAAUCAUGUUUAUGUUCCAGAACAAACAAGUAUUUGGACUGUACGCAUACAGCCCCAAUUUUAAGAAGUUGGUCAAGUUUAUUACAAACAAAUGUACAGUACAGAUCAACAUAACUGAAAUCUUUAAUAGAUUAAUACAAAAAGUUUAAUUGCAGUUAAAAUAAAAACACAGGUUUGGUCGAGCUGGUACCAGACAGUACAAGUAUAUACUUAAAUGGUCUGACUGUACACAUAUGGUGGGACUGUAAGUUCUGGACCGUAAAAGUAAGAUCCGAAUACUGAUAUGGUCUGGAACAUUUAUACAUGUCUUAAAAUUAAUAUCAAACACAUUGGUGUUUUUGAACUUGGUAAUAAGUUAACUAUAAUGUUUUGGGAUAUCAAAAUCAAAAAUAUCCCAUUUUUACUUUUAAUAAAGAAGAAGAUUAUUGAUGUAUGUUUAAAUGUAUAUUAAAAUGAGACAGCAAGCCAACAACACAAAAAAAUAAGGAUAAAACAUACAUAUUUUUUUUGUAUCAAUGUUAUAAUUUCCAAUAUGUUCAAGGUAUUUUUUCAUUGAAAUAAAACACAAAUUGAAAUCUGUCUGAACUUCAAAAGCUUAAAGAAAUAUUGUUUCUGUUGUCUGCAUUUUGUAUAAUAUAUUGCAAAUUCUUGUGAAUAAUGGAAUGUUAUUAUAGUUGUCUAAAGUUUUAACAUUGAUCUUUAUACUGUAAAUUCAUAAAUUAUUGCGUGCAUUUAUUAUUGCGAUUCUGUCAUUUUAGACUUAAAUGCGAUUUUAAAUUUUACGAUUUUGAGAAAAAUCCUGUUUAAUCCAUAUAAAAUAUUUCAUAAUGCGAGUUUAAAUUAUUGCGUUUACAACUCCGUUGCAUUUUUCGCAAUAAAAAAAAACUCGCAUUAAUUCCGAAUUUACAGUAUAUAUAUAUAUAUUAUGUAUAUAACUUGGGAAAAUACCCAAAUGUUAUAAAGAAGAAUAAAUUAAUUGAUUGUUAUAUGGUAUUAGAAUAGGAAGAUGUGGUAUAUUGCUAAUUUGACAACCCUCCAUCAGAGACCAAAGGAUGUAGGCCGUUAGCAACUGAUGACACUGGACAACCUUUAACAAUCAGUAAAAUCCAUACCGCAUAGCUAUUUUUAUUGAAAAUCAUAUUAUUGCUACAUGUAUGAAAACAAUUUUGUAUAAUCCAUUACUUUAGAUUUUAUUGGUUCUUUUUCAGAAGGAUUGAAAUUCACCACCUAGAAUAAAUGGAGAAAACAUAGAAACAAGACCAGAAUAAAUUCAAAGACAAAAGUUGGAUCAGUUAUUAUUUUCAUCACUCAGUCAAUGAUUUGAAGUUCUUUUAAAUUCAAAAAAAUAUUGAAACCACAAUAAUGUCAAAGUUCUGUGCUGAAUGUCCAAAAAGUGGACUAUACCAUCAAACAAUGCUGGAUGAUAAGAAACUAUUAAUGUUUUGUGUUGAGGGAUAUUGUGAAAAAAAUAGAUUUACUUAAAUAGCUACUAGUAUGUUAAGCCUAACAAUAGAGUUUUUAUUGAUUUCAAAUGGCAAAUAAUUGUGUUUCAAGAAAGUAUUCUAUAAUUCAUGAAUAAACAUAUAUUGAUACUUACAUUAUCUGCUUUGUUGUUUAAAAGUUUAGUUUUGAACAGUUAAAGAACAAUAUGCUAAAUUAACAUUUCCCAAGAAAAAAAGAUAUUCAAUUAAAAAGAUUCAUCUUAUAAUAAUUUACUACCAAAUAGAAUACAUUGUAACAUACACAUUACUGUUUAUUUAUAUCUAUAUAUUUACAAUUAGAAUCCCAUAGGAUUUUAAUUUGUCCCAUGGGAUAUUAAAAAUCCCAUGGGAUAAUAAAAAUCCCAUGGGAUUUUUUUUGUCCCAUGGGACAACAAAUAUCCCAUGGGACUACAAUAAUCCCAUGGGACAAAAAAAAAUCCCAUGGGAUUUAACCAAAAUCCCAUGGGAUAAUGGUAAAUCCCAUGGGAUUUUGCCCUGUCCCAUGGGAUAUUGAAAAUCCCAUGUUUUUAUAAUUCAAAUUGCAAAAUAAAUAUGAAAGUAACUGUAGAAAACCAAUGAAAUUAUUGAAUCCCAUGUAAUUCUGCACAUUUUGGUUAUAUACAUGAUAUUGUAGCUCUUGUUUGAGGCGGCGGCGGAUUUGCAAAUGAGUGUUUUGCAAAUUAAAAGUGUCCAGUGUUAUAUAUAAAUAUGCGUAACAAAUUAUUUGCGUUAUUUUCUUUUAAUAUUGCUGCAACUAUCCUCUUUUAAUAUUUAGAAUUAUGAAAUUAAUAAAAAAAUGUCAUAAUUUCAAUUUAUUCUAUAAAUGAAUGUGUAGAAUGUCACGCACUAGUAGAUUCUAGCGCGGUUUUGCUCGCACACCACCGGAUAACUUUUUUUCAAUCCGUUCAUGUCCGUUAGACGUCCGUUCUUAUUCGUUAGGCGUCCGUCCAUAUCCGUUAGACGUCCGUUAAGCGUCCGUUUUAUCCGUUGACGUCCGUUCUGUCCGGUGGAAAAUUUUGAGCAUGUUUAAAACUUUGAACGGACGUCCAACGGAUAAAAUUUCCGUUGAACGUCCGUUAGGCGUCCGUUUUGUACGGUACUCGUCCGUUUUGUAUCCGUUACGUGUCCGUUAUGCAUCCGUUGGAGAUCCGGUAGACCAAUUCACCCAAACUCCCCGGCAGUUCCAGUUCCAAUCCGCAUACGGGCCCGAAUACUACUCUACACUUGAUGGAGUAAAGGAAAAAAGUUCCGGAACGGAAACGAUCACUGUACGGAGUUUGCAAUUCACCAACGGACGUCUUUCGGACGCCUAACGGACGCCGAACGGAUAAAACGGAUGUGAAACGGAAAUUAACGGAAGGAUAACGGAUAAAACGGAUGCCUACCGGAUGUAAAAUGGACAAAUGCCAAUUGAAAUUUCUCAUGGUUUAUUGCCUUUAAUUUUUAGAUGGUUUAUUGCCUUUAAUUUUCAGAAUAUUUUGUUCAUCCGUUUUAUCCGUUACGCUUCCGUUAGGUGUCCGUUUUAUCCGGUACUCGUCCGUUGGAUGUACGUUCGACGUCCGUUCUGUCCGGUACGUAUCCGUUUCACGUACGUUCAAUGUCCGUUGUGUGUCCGUUAGACAUUCGUUGCAUGUCCGUUAGUACACCAGCGGACUUCCAACGGAUAACUUUUUUUAUCCGUUAGGCGUCCGUUCGAGCUAUCCGAUAAGGUGUGGCCGAUGCUUUACAUCAUAAGAUAUUUAUCGAUUUAACGAUUUAACGAUUUAUCAGAAAACACUCAGACACAUCCUAUGACCAUCCUAAAUAAGAUCCUAAGAAACAUGUCUUAUGACAUAGUGUAGGAUACUCACACUAACACGGACCCUCAGAUCACUGAAAGUAAACGAACAAGGAAUUCGAACCAAGCAAAGGUUAAUUAUAAUAUUUAUGCGUAUUACUAAGAAUCUCAGUACGAUUUUUCAUAACUUGCGUCGUAAACUUAAGACCCCUCGCGACAUGACUUAUGAUGGUCUUAUGAUUGUCAACUAAAAUUUUGAUUACUUUUAAUGUAUAAUUUUAUGUUAAUUGCAAUAAAAAUAUUUGUUAUGUUAUUCGGUUAGCUAAAUGGUAAAGAUUUUACUUUUCUCAACUACGUCAACUAAAAUUUGAAUCUCCUGCGACAUACAAUUUUUGAAUUCUUUUCUUGCUCAUGGUUUAGCCAGUGAACAGAUAUAUCAUGUUAAGGAGGGGUAUUUGCGAAAUAUACCAGUCGAGAGAAUGUUAAAUUUCACGAGCCGUAAGGCGAGGGAAAUUCAUUCUCAAGACAGGUAUUUUUCGCAAAUAUCCCUCAAUAACAUGAUAUAUCUGUUUAAUUACACCGAAUGUUCAUGUACUAAAACGCAUUGCUGAUCUUGACGUUACAAGCGUCCAGUUGGAUAGAGUAUUUUUUGGCAAAUACCACGGCAGAGAGGGUAAAAAAGGCAUAUCCUUUUAGCAAAUACCCGGCGGCGUUAAAAAUGAACGAUAUUCAUUCGAUAACAGUAAAUUGGUGAAAAAUACACUUGCUAUCAACCAAUCAAAAACCCGGAUUCUUACAUAAGCUAUAAACUAUAUAAGAUAUCUUAUAAACUUUAUGAGAUAUCUUAUAAACUGAAUAAGAUAUCUCCUAUAAUAUAAAAGAUAUCUCCUAUAAUAUAUAAGAUAUCUUAUAUUAUUUUAUUUCCAGAAUGGUAAUAAUUAAUUUGUUCAUACUUUUCUUUUUUAUAUUUAAUCAUUUAUAUAAAAUGAUAGAAAAUAAUGUUCACUUAUGACAGUCAUAAGAGCAUUAUAGCUAUGACUCUCUUAAGACAGCUUUGAUUUACAUCCUAUGAUAGGCAUAAGAUGAUCAUAACAUAUGUCUUGAGAUAUGUCUCUUAUGAUACUUUCGAAAACCAGGGGCCGUGUCAAUGAAAAGUAUCCUAGGAUAUGUUCUAAGAUAGGUCUUAGGACAUUAUUUAGGAUGGUCUUAGGACGUGUCUGAGACAUGUCUUAGGAUGUAAAACAAAGCUGUCCUAGGACUGUCCUAACUACGAUGGUCCUAGGACCAUUCUUACUCAUUUAUUUAAUUGAAAAUAUAUGUAGAGAUUUGUAUGACAUAGAUUGAAUUGUAUUGUAUAUGUAAAGAGAGGGAGGAUGACUCUUAUAUAGAAAUCAAUUAACGCAAAAUAAAAGUUUAAUUUUUUACGGAAUACUAAUAAAUACGUUAUUAAAUAUGAUAAAAGAUAUAAAUGAAUCUAAUACGAAAACAAAAGUAAAUGAUCACAAAAUGGUCACAAAACUUUGUGAUAUUCGUGGUGCAAUUUUAGUACAUAAACUAGUUUUGUACACUCGAUUUCAAUACAUGUAUCGAAUCAGGAUUAGGUAAAAAGAGAAGUAAACUUUUUCCCAUAUUUGAAUUAUUUAAAAAUAUGUUGCUUAUGAGGAUAGUAUUGUUUAGGCUUCAAAAAAGGCAGCACGAAAUAAUUUAAUAUAAUACAAUUAAAUCUUUAACAAACAUUAAACAAUAUUUUUUUAUUAUUAACUUUAUCUAAUGAUAGUUUAAUAUUGUAUUAGUAUUUUUAGUAUUGAGUUUAUGCCAUAUUUGUUGUUUUUAUUACAUUUUAGGACAUCGUAACUUUUAGGACUAUCCUAAGACACCUAAUUGUAUAUCCUAACUUUAGGACCAAGUUUAGGACAUAUCUUAGUUUAGGAGACUUUCGUUAACCCGACUUAGGACUAAGACGUGUCCUAAGACCAUCCUAAGACAUGUCUUAGUCCUAGGACAGCUUCGUUGUGACACGGCCCCAGGAUGGUCUUAGGACACGUCUAAGUCCUAAGUCAGGUUAAUAUGUCCUAAAACGUAAUAAAAACAAGAAGGUGUCCAAAGUACACGGAUGCCCCCACUCGCAUUAUCUUUUGCAUGUUCCAUGGACCGUGAAAUUGGGUAAUAAUCUAAUUUGGUAUUACAAUUAGAAAGAUUAUACUUUAGGGAACCGCAUAUGUACUAAGUUUCAAUUUGAUUGGACAAUUUCAUCAAAAACUACCUUGACCAAAAACUUUAACGUGAAACUCCCACUUUCAUUAUCUAUGUUUAGCGGACCGUGAAAUUGAAGUCAAAAGUCUAAUUUGGCUUUAAAAUUAGAAAGAUCAUAUCAUAAGCAACAAGUACUAAGUGUCAAAUUGAUUGGACUUCAGCUUCAUAAAAAACUACCUUGACCAAAACUUUAACCUGAACGGACGCACAGACGGACAAACGAACAAACGAACGAACGAACGGAGCUACAGACCAGAAAACAUAAUGCCCCUCUACUAUCGUAGGUGGGGCAUAACAACAAAUUAGGCAAAAAAACUCAAUACUAAAAAUAUACAUAUACAAUAUUAAACUAUCAUACUGUUAUGAGAAUUAAAUUAAUACAUUUUUUUAUUUUUUUUUGUUAAAGAUGUAAUUGUGUAUUACAUUAAAUUAUUUCGUGCUACCUUUUUUGAAGCCUAAAACAUACAAGCAUUAAACUAACAUUUUAGCGACUUACUAAAAGACGGUGCAAUAUAAAUUCGAAAAUUCGGAAAAUAUUACUUUUUUUUAACUGCUCAUUCGAUACAUGUAAUGAAAUCGAGUGGACCUGAAGACAAAACUAUUUCAUCGACUAAAAUUGUAGCACGAAUAAAUAUCGCAUUUAACAAUUAAAGUUUACUGACUAUUUACUUUUGUUUUCGUAUUAAAUUCAUUUAUAUACUUUUUAUCAUAUUAUAAAACAACGUUAUUUAUUAGAAUAACUUUAAAUCUUUAACUUUUAUUUUGCGUUAAUUGUUUUCCUUAUAAAAGUNCCAAUCAUCAUUUGAAUUUGGCAAUUGAUCUUUAAUAAUUAGGACUAAUUGGUGAUGGCAGAGAAUAAGUCGCUGGUGAUGGUUAAAAACAUAUAGAAGUAAACUUUGCAAAAAAAAAGGUUUCCUCGGAAAAAAUUAUGAAAAUAUAUGAAUAUGCUAAAUAUUUUUUUUUUCCGAAAUAAUAAUUAAAGACGUUUAGAAAUAACAAAUUUUUCACAGUUGGGAAAUUUUCAAUUCAAGUUAUUUCAUUUUGAAAACGUUGAAAAAUAUAGAUCUUAUUAUAUGUUAAAUGUGGGCCGCUUGGAGAUCAACUUGUGAAACCCUGCAUAAUUAGGGUUUGUCUACUUUCGUCUUUUUAUAUUACCAAACAUUCUAUAAUCAAGGAUUUGUACAAGGCCUUGUUAUAAUGAAUAUUAUCGCCAAUAUCACCAUAAUUAAAUAAAGAACAGAUACAAUAUUCGCCUAAAGAGUUUGCCAUCUAACAAUUCAAAAUGAAAUGUUGAGUCGAAACUGAGGUACCAAAUCUAUAAAAAGAAUCACUAUUUUAGUCGAAAUUAAACUGUAUAUAAUAUUCUUUUUUUUCAAAACUCCUGAAAUAAUUUAACAUUAUCUAUAGAGAGCUUACAUAUGCAAAUCUGUUUAAAAGUAUGUGAGCGUAAAUAAAAUUUGUUUAUUACCCCCCCCCCCUUUUUCCUUCUAUAAAAUUUAAUUGUAAACGAUUUUCGUUCUUAAUUUGUGUUUGCUCAUUAACUGGGGUUCAUGCUGUCAAAAAAAAAAUGUCUCCUUGUGUAAAAGUUAUUGAUAAGAAAAAAUUGAAGCUUCCAGAAGAAUAACGGUACGUCUAAACACCGCUUGAAGGACCUCCUGAUUGCACUCAUGACAUACGAAGUGCACUCAGGACCCUUUAUAGUCAUCGCACACAGGAUGGAUGCAUAUAUUCUUUAUACGCUUCUUAUUUUUUAGAGUUAAAUUUGGUAGAAUUUGUAAUUCUUAGAAAUAAUAAGGGCACGUGUCACUGAUUACACAACUACUGAGCCAUGAAUUAUCCAAUCAACAAAAUUAAUUGGAUUAUCUUUAUUGUUGUUUUAUACAUUGUGUUGUUAGUACAGUGUGACCAUGCGGAAGUAAUAUUGUGACGUCUAGAAUGAAUAUCACGAUGUUUUAAGAUUUUCGUCUUUUAUUAAAAUUUCGUUCCAUAAAUUUUUAAGUUUUAUUCUUAAUUUUAUUAUCAUGUCCUGGACCAGUAAUUAAUUCUUUGCACGAGUUUGAAAAGGGAAAUAAUUAUAAAUGUUCAUACUUUAAAAGAAUUUAUAUUAAUUAAAGUUUUGUAUAUGGAAUCCGUUCUUAAACGGUAAAAAAAGCCGUACUUUUCAAACAAUCAAACUCAUAUACAUGUAGUUAGAUGUUAUUUCUCAUUUUUAUCGAACUUGUCCAGGAAUUUUAUUUUUGAGUUAUACGAAUAUUUUAAGAAAUCCGUUUUUAUUAAGUUUUUUUUCUCUAAUUAAAGUCGUUUUGUCCAGUUUCACAAGCCUGAAACGAAUUUCAAUGCGAAAAUAAAUUCUGAAAAUGAACUUGUCUCCGUUUUCGUCUCCGUUUUUUGAAAAUUAUGAUAUUUUGGGUAUAAUUAUUUCUAAAAAAUAUGUAAGUUAGAUUGUAGUAGCGAGAAAUUUAAAAAAGAAGAUGUGGUAUGAUUGCUAAUGAGACAACUAUCCACAAAAGACCAAAAUGACACAAACAUUAACAAAGAAAGACUAUUUCGAAGACAGUUUAUUGACACGAAAUCCGUUCAAACCACGACUAAGUCUUCGUGCACAGAUUUCCGUUAAGGUUAAACUGAAUAUUGUACAUAAUUGUCUUCUCUCUUGUAUAAUGGUUUGUUGAGAAUAAAGAUAUACAAAUGUAAUAAAAUUUGAUAUUCAGUCAACAUUGUGUUUGUUUAAAAACUUGAUUUAGAGAGAGAGAUAGAGAAAAGAAUCACACUGAAAAACAAAAAUCGAACUUGUUACAGAAAAAAAAACGCAACUAUAAAAUAAUUUUCUUUAUUCGUGAACUGCAAAACACAACAAAUUAAUUUACCCGUCAUCAUGAAAAAUAAACUGAAAAAGCACAUCGAAUGAGAUAUAUGUUUUAUUUUUUCUAUAUGCAAAUUCAUGUUAAAGGUAAAACUGAACUAAACAAUACAAUUCCUAAAAAACAAUAAAGAUAAUCCAAUCAAUUUUGUUGAUUGGAUAAUUCAUGGCUCAGUAGUUGUGUAAUCAGUGACACGUGCCCUCAUUAUUUUAUAAGAAUUAACAUAUCUAUCUAUCUAAGUUCGAUUCAGGCGCGGAUCCAGAGGGGGAGGGGGGUUCCGGGGGGGGGGGUUGGAACCCCCCUUUUUUUGGCCGAUCAAUGCAUUUGAAUGGGGACAUGUAGUUGAACCCCCCCUUUUUUUGCCCUGGGUUAGGACCCCCCCCCCUUUUUAAAAUGGCUGGAUCCGCCCCUGCGAUUUCAACUUCUACCAAAAUUUAACUCUAAAAUAAGAAGCGUAUAACGAAUAUAAACAUCCAUCAUGUGUGCAGAUAUGAUUACGGUAAUGGGUCCUGAGUGCACUUUGUAUGUCCUGAGUGCACUCAGGAGGUCCUGAGCGGUUGUUUAGACGUACCCGAAGAAUAAAUCAUUUCCUGAACCUAAAAUACAUUUAUCUGUAAUUAAAGAAAAUUCGCCUAAAACAUUCUCUCAUAUAUUUAAACAAUUAAUUGUAAAAUAAUUAAUUCAACGUCGGACUUUCUGUCUGUUUACUAAUACUUUUCUUGUUCAGUUUAGUUUAUACCCAUAAUAGAUGAACGGAAAUAAGUACUUUUUUUAGGAAAAUUUACAAUUAGAUGAACGGAAUUAAGUACUUUUUAGGAAAAUUUACAACUCAAAUUUUCAAAAACAAAAUUCUACACUUUUUACCUGGAUGUUUUUCUCUGUCUCGAAGCCGCAACCUUUGACCCCGUAUCAAACGUAGCGUUUGACUAGAUGGUUAGUCACAUUUACUCAUUAUGACUAUGUUGGAAGUUGUAUUCAUCGUUAUGACAAAUUGGAUUGUUCAAUUGACUAUGCAUUUGUCAGUUACAAUUGAAUGCAUCCAUAUGACUGAUUAAAUAUCAAGUGACCAUGUAGUCAACAUGAUUACUGUGAAUAGUCAGACUGUUAGACUGUUAUUUUUAUUUGUGUUGUGUUUUUUUUGUUCACCAUUUAAUUUUGUGUGUGUUCAUUCGUUUCGUGUUAUGGUUCAUGUUCUUCUGUUAUCUACUUUUUUUGUUUCAUGGGAUUGACAAAUACAUUGAAUUAAUAUCAUUAAAAAUACGGAAGCAAUACUAACAAUGAAAAUUAUAACACUUCAAUUAAAACCUUCCUAUAUUUUAAGUUUUGAUGUGUAACUAUUACUCAAGACAUAUAUUAAGUCUAAAAAUAAAUAAAGAAAAUAAAUUUAUUAUAACUCAUUGUUAAUUGAAGGUUUAUUUCUGAUAUUUUGUCGAUCAACUCUGAUGUGUCAGUGGGUAUUCUCUAAAAAAAUCUCUCAGCUAUACAAAUAGCAAUGUCUUCAUUUGCUGAAAAAUAUAAUUAUAUCAUUUUAGAAGCUUAAAUAUAACAAUGACCAAGUAUAUCAGUCAUGUUAAAAGUUUAAGAAAAAACUAAUUUUAAAAUCUUUGAUCUAGUGAUUAAUCACUCAUCUUAUACCAUUAAUUUGUAAUGUAAGCACCGGGAUCUUGACAGCCACCCAUCCUAUAUCACAACAUUGUAACAUUGUAAGUAAGCACCAGCUUGACAGCCACCUAUCUUAUACCAGAACAUUUUAAUGUAAGCCCAGAAUCUUGACAGCCACCAUCUAUACCACAACAUUGUAUUGUAAGCACCGGGAUCUUGCCAGCCACCCAUCUUAUACCACAACAUUGUAAUGUAAGCACCGGAUCUGCAAAUCUUAUACCAGAAUAAGCACCAUGACAUAUCUUAUAACACAACAUGAAUAAAGCACCAGAUUUGACAGCCACCCAUUAUAACAACCAUUGUAAUGUAAGCACCAGAUUUGACAGCCACCAUCCUAUAUCACAGCAUUGUAUUAAUGUAAGCACCACGAUCUUGACAGCCACCCUGAGUUUUUAAUUCAUUGUCGUGAAUAUCGAUUACAGUGUUUAUUUUUAACAGUUUUUGCUCAGGUGAAAAAAGAUAUCGCUAAAUACUCUUUUCAAUCGACAAUACGUUGUAUGUGUAUCAAAAUUGAUAUCCCGUAUACAUAUCCCCCCUUUUUUAUUGUCGUUAAACAUGUGCCGAUAUAACUUUCAUUUAUACAUUCUUUUUUCUUAAAUAAUUUUGUAAGUUAGAAUUAAAACAAAUAUACAUCAUACUUACUUUAAACAAUUGGUUUAUUUGACAAAAUAAGUUUCCAUGCCUUAAAUUCUGGUUUGUUUACAUCUUCACAAUCUAUGGAACAAAGGGAACGCGAAGAGUGAAACGGAAGUGACAUGCAAGUCAAAUGACUUGACAAAACUAAAUUUGACUAACUGAAUAGUCAUCGUGACUAAUUUAGAUUUUCAGUGUAGCGACCAACACCUCACAUGACGUAUUCUCGAUGUUGAGGUAUUGACAAUAUACAAUCACAUUUAUCAAUCACAUUAUCAAUAUACAGCAAGUAAGUAAUUUGGUGUUGAAUGCCAGUAGAUCAGAAUUUGUUAAUUGAACUUUACCUGUUUAAGGGGCACUAGCUGCCAAAUUCAUGUUCUUCAUCGAUUUUAAUAAAAUUCACAUAACGUGUAUAUAGUGUUGAAUUGUUUAUUAAAAUGUUGCGCACAAUCUUGGCUGAUAUGCAUAAAACCAUUAUAUUUCAUGACACUGCAUGAAAAAGAAAUUGACUUAUCGCAUAAUACCAGAACCAGAGACAUAUAUAUUGUAUCUAAUAUCUCUGCCAGAACUAAAAAAUAAACUACAGUAAGUCCACAUACACAUAAGAGGGUAUGGAUGUGAAUUAACAGAAUAGAGAACAAAGGACAAAGAAAAAAAAAGGAAUAAAGAAUAGUGAAAGAAAGAGAAUAAUGGAAAAAAGUGUAAGUUAUUAAAAAUAUAACUAAAACAAGAAUGUGUCCCCAGUACACGGAUGCCCCACUCGCACUAUCAUUUUCUAUGUUCAGUGGACCGUGAAAUUGGGGUAAGAACUCUAAUUUGACAUUAAAAUUAGAAAGAUCAUACCAUAAGGAACAUAUAUACUAAGUUUCAGGUUGAUUGGACUUCAACUUCAUCAAAAACUACCUCGACCAAAAACUUUAACCUGAAACAGGACGAACGAACGGACGAACGAACGGAGGCACAGACCAGAAAACAUAAUGCCCCUCUACUAUCGUAGGUGGGGCAUAAAAAGAAGACAGAAAAAAAGACACCCCUCCGAGACGAGCCUUACAUGCACUGUUAUUACCCAAGGUUAAUUUUACGGCGGCUCAUUUUAUUUUGGCUUAGAAAUAAACAUAAUUGACAAGUUUCCUUCCCCUGCAUUCUCGAUCCCACAUGUAAAUAGCACGGUGAUUUCAAAAAGACAUUGAUACAUCAUUACAACACUUGCCGUCAGUAUUUGAAUAUAUUGAUUAAGAAGGUAUAGAAGAUUAAUGCACGCACACUAUUAUCCACCACUGGCCUAAAUAGUUAGUCCGCAAACAACGAGGGUCAUAAAAACCCAGCACUUUGAACACAGCCACCGGCAUGGUGUGAAUCUGAAAGCUGAUAUUAAUGGUAUAUAAGAAUUAUGUGGGAAUUCAAACCAUUCCUAUUGUAAGUGAUAAAACUAAAUUUAUAUCAGGGUGAUUGAAAUGAGGAAAAAAAAGGGGGAAUCAGGAGUUCAGGGCCCCCUGUUUGGGAAAAGAAUUGGUUGAUUAUAUAUGGAAUCACUGAGUCAUGGCAGGAGCAGGCCCCUCUUAGGCAGUCGGUGGGCCCCACUUAUGAAAAAUUCUGGAUCCACCACUGUGGUCAUGGUGGUCUUCAGUUGGUUGUAUUAUCUUUUAAAAAAAAAAUUACACCUGUAUAGUGUAUAUUCUUUAGUGUAAAUCAAGGGAAAAUACUGUGAACUAUCUGUGCAUUGGGGCUUAUUAAAAGGUAUUUCGGGGGGAAGAAAGAAGGGAGGGUGAGUCCAUGGGAGGUAAUCCCCACCCCUUUCAAUUUGAGAAUAUGCUAUUAUCUUGUAAACGGUCCAGAUCCCCAUCCCUAAACCAUAUAUAUUCUUGAAUGGGACGAUAAAACAAAUCAAAUGAAAUUAAAAGGAGGUCUUUGGGGGUUACCCCACUCUGUUCAAUUUGAGAAUGUGCUAUUAUCUUGUGAACGAUCCAGAUCCCCACCCCUAAACCAUAUAUAUUCUUGUCGGGGACAAUAAAAUUAAUAAUGAAAUAAAAUAAAAGUGAAGUCCCACCCCCUCUAGUUUGAAAACUUGUAAACGGUCAAGAUCCCCACCCCUAAACCAUAUUUAUAUAUUCUUGUAUAGAACAAUAAAACAAAUCAAAGGAAAUAUAGGGAGAGUCCAUGGGGUUCACCCCCACCCCCACAUGUUUGAGAAACUUUUAAAUGGUUGAGAUCCCCUGUCAUCCAGUGGUUAGGUGAAAAAAUUUCAGGAUCCCUGAUCCCCACCGUCAAACCAUAUAUAUCUUGUAUGAGACAAUAAAACAAAUCAAAUGAAUAUAGGAUCAUCCCCUUUGUCUUGGGUUGGGAACCCCCCUUUUUAAAAUGGCUGGAUCCGCCCCGGCAUACCAUCUAGCUAGCUAUAAAGGCUUUAAAAAUAUGAAAUCAAACAAGGAAAUUAACAGUGUAGGCAACUGUUUUGAAUUUAAAAAAAAGUCUUUUACAUAUAUAUAACAAUGUUAAAUUUUUUGUGCAUUUAUUUUUGCUUAUCGUAUUUUCAAUAAUAGACAAAAUUGCAUGAUUGAAUAUUGUAAUUUAAGAAAAAUCAGCAUACAUGAUAUAAAAUGGGAAGUGGAAACUGGGAAUUUGACAAAGAGACAACAACCCAAUCAAAGAGCAGACAACGGCCGAAGGUCACCUAUGGGUCUUCAAUGCAGUGAGAAAAAUUCGGCACUGGUCUUCAGCUCAUAAAUAUGUAUCAGAAAUGAAAACGAGAUACAGCUUUCAGUUGUAUUAAUAAAAACCUCACAAUAAGUUCUGAAUAUCAGAAUAUACAGUAUUGCAAGAUUCUCUCAAAAUGUACACAUAGAGCUGAAAAACUGUCAGUGACUGUAAAAUUAAUCAUGCUUACAUUAAAGUCCAUGGAGUCCAUCUUAAUAUGCAUACUCUCGUACAAAGGAAUAUAAGUAUGCAAUAGACAUCAAGUUUUCAAAAAAUAAGAGUAUCUAUGCCAUUAAUUUACGACAAGAUCUUAAUCAAGUAAUAAUUUCGGUUUGUUUAAAUAUUUCGGAGGUUAGUAUGACCUCCUCUUUGGUGAUGAUGUUUUCGUUUUAAAGUUGGGAAAAUUGUUUGUACAUGUACCAACAAAAAUAAAAACACAAAUUCAAUCUAGAAUUAUGUUUUUAUCAUUUUUUUAUGUUUAGGUUGUCAGCAAGAUGAAAAGGACAAGUAUGCAGUUCAAAAUUCAAAAUGUGGAUAAGUUGAGGUUCUAGGUCUUACCUUUGCAGAUUUUCAUAUUUUGCAUGAAUGAAUUCAAAGGUUAUAUGAUGGACAGCAGAGAAAGAAAAAAACAACUUUUCAAUUAUCCUGCUCCUGGAUAAAUGUAAAACAUCUUGUUUUUCGGUAAGUUUUAUGCUCUGUUUUGAUAGUGUUAGUGCAUUCAUCUUUCCAGUCUUUCCUCUAAAUUGUAAGUUUUUGGUGAGUGUUCACCAUGAAUUUCAGUAAGUAACUUGUGGAUUUACAUGUAUAUACUCAAAAUUUAGUACUAAUAUUAAUGGGAUUUUAGCAUGACAUCCUGCCAAAUGCUUGUUAAUCAUGUUUAUGUUCCAGAACAAACAAGUAUUUGGACUGUACGCAUACAGUCUGCCCAAUUUUAAGAAGUUGGUCAAGUUUAUUACAAACAAAUGUACAGUACAGAUCAACAUAACUGAAAUCUUUAAUAGAUUAAUACAAAAAGUUUAAUUGCAGUUAAAAUAAAAACACAGGUUUGGUUGAGCUGGUACCAGACAGUACAAGUAUACUUAAAUGGUCUGACUGUACACAUAUGGUGGGACUGUAAGUUCUGGACCAUAAAAGUAAGAUCCGAAUACUGAUAUGGUCUGGAACAUUUAUACAUGUCUUAAAAUUAAUAUCAAACACAUUGGUGUUUUUGAACUUGGUAAUAAGUUAUGUGAUAGAACUAUAAUGUUUUGGGAUAUCAAAAUCAAAAAAUAUCCCAUUUUUACUUUUAAUAAAGAAGAAGAUUAUUGAUGUAUGUUUAAAUGUAUAUUAAAAUGAGACAGCAAGCCAACAACACAAAAAAAAAAGGAUAAAACAUACAUAUUUUGUUUGUAUCAAUGUUAUAAUUUCCAAUAUGUUCAAGGUAUUUUUUCAUUGAAAUAAAACACAAAUUGAAAUCUGUCUGAACUUCAAAAGCUUAAAGAAAUAUUGUUUCUGUUGUCUGCAUUUUGUAUAAUAUAUUGCAAAUUCUUGUGAAUAAUGGAAUGUUAUUAUAGUUGUCUAAAGUUUUAACUUUUAACAUUGAUCUUUAUACUGUAAAAUUCAUAAAUUAUUGCGUGCAUUUAUUAUUGCGAUUCUGUCAUUUUAGACUUAAAUGCGAUUUUAAAUUUUACGAUUUUGAAAAAAUCCUGUUUAAUCCAUAUAAAAUAUUUCAUAAUACGAGUUUAAAUUAUUGCGUUUACAACUCCGUUGCAUUUUUCGCAAUAAAAAAAAACUUGCAUUAAUUCCGAAUUUACAGUAUAUAUAUAUAUAUUAUGUAUAUAACUUGGGAAAAUACCCAAAUUUUAUAAAGAAGAAUAAAUUAAUUGAUUGUUAUAUGGUAUUAGAAUAGGAAGAUGUGGUAUAUUGCUAAUUUGACAACCCUCCAUCAGAGACCAAAGGAUGUAGGCCGUUAGCAACUGAUGACACUGGACAACCUUUAACAAUCAGUAAAAUCCAUACCGCAUAGCUAUUUUUAUUGAAAAUCAUAUUAUUGCUACAUGUAUGAAAACAAUUUUGUAUAAUCCAUUACUUUAGAUUUUAUUGGUUCUUUUUCAGAAGGAUUGAAAUUCACCACCUAAAAUAAAUGGAGAAAACAUAGAAACAAGACCAGAAUAAAUUCAAAGAAAAAAGUUGGAUCAGUUAUUAUUUUCAUCACUCAGUCAAUGAUUUGAAGUUCUUUUAAAUUCAAAAAAAUAUUGAAACCACAAUAAUGUCAAAGUUCUGUGCUGAAUGUCCAAAAAGUGGACUAUACCAUCAAACAAUGCUGGAUGAUA